GCUGGUAGCAGUGGAUACGGUAAGUACUCCUCAGGUAACUAGUUCGUAGUCUUCCUCCUUUAGAGGGCUCAGAGCUGCAACACAAGAUCACAGUUCACCUUUAACUGUGACUUCCUUGCUUGCGGUCAGCUGGUAGCAGUGGAUACGGUAAGUACUUUUCGGUAACUGGUUCAUAGUUUUCCUCCUUAAGAGGGCUCGAGUCUGUAACACAAGAUUACACUUCACCUUUAACUGUGACUUUCUCUUACUUGCAGGUGGCUGGUAGCAGUGGAUACGGUGGCUGGUAACAGUGGAUACGGUGGCUGGUAACAGUGGAUACGGUGAGUACUUUUACAGGUAACUGGUUCGUAGUCCUCCUCCUUCAGAGGGUACGAGGCUGUCACUAUGAGCCGAACGCUGCCCUCUCCUUCCCACACGUAGGAUGUCGGGACUCUGGACAGGAGCGUACCUUUGAAGAGGCUCAGU
Long non-coding RNA from Paramisgurnus dabryanus, 465 nucleotides. RefSeq lists it as uncharacterized. The record is from RefSeq and is a predicted model, not a curated record. Lineage: Eukaryota; Metazoa; Chordata; Actinopteri; Cypriniformes; Cobitidae.